CCAAUACGUUAGGAUAAACAUAGAAGGAUAAGUUAUACAUUUGGAGUACUAACAUACUGGUAAGUACGAAACAUAUGGAAUGAUAAUAUGUUACAAAAUUAUUUUACACCUGUGAACUGAUAUAUGAUAUGGCAUAAGGUAGAACGGUCAUCGGUUGUUCAUGCUGCGGUCGGAUUCGCAGCCGUAUUCAUGUUUGCUUGAGUUCCGCACCGACGAAAAUCUUUCUAUAUCUGGGAAAAUAUGAAACUGUUUAAGAAAUCUAAUUGUAUGAUCUUAAUUUUUUAUGGCUGGGUUAGGGGAGUUUGUAAUACGUGCCUCUUACAUGUAGGCUUUGAGUAUUGGCGGAUAGUUUGGAAGAAGAAAAUCAUACCUGUGUGUUGACAAGGUGAAGUUGCUUCGUCGUCUGCUUUGUGAGUUGCACCAUUGUUUUGUGAAACCUGGUUGAUUAUUUUGUGAGAACAAAAGUUUAGAUAAUUUAUAAUUGAUAUGGUGAAUGUCACAAGACAUUUUUGUGUGUGACGAAGUUACCUAGUGUGACAAUGUGAUGUCAAUUGUUUCGUACCAGACGGAGCCAGUUGCGGAUCCUCAAAUACUUGGCAUGCAUAAUCAUAGAGGUCUUGGCAUGAUUGCAUACAUUUCUUAUGAGCUGUGAACUUAGCAUUGUAGAAAUCUUUAAAGUGAAAGGCUACUGUAGCAGGUAAAAAGCGCGCAUAUAACUGUCAACUGAGCAUAAAUCGCACGACACAAAGGAAAGAAUCCAAAUUAGUCAGCACGAGCAACAACCGAAGCAGUAGCGGACAUAAACACAAAUAAUAACCUUGGACACAUCUUAGAGAAACAACAGUAAGUAGGAAGCAGAGGCAAAGCACACAAACCGAAGAAAAGCAAAGCCGAUCAAAAUGCACGGUGAAGAACGCCACCACAAAAGCACAGUGCCGACGACCACAAUAAAUCAAUGAAAGAGAGGAGGGACGGAAUAGAGAACGGCAUGCAGCACAGCCGCCAAUACGGCCGAUGCACCCAAUGGCGUCGCGAGGCAGAGAGGCGACGCCGGCAUACAGGGAAGCACACCAAGCAC
Molecule: long non-coding RNA, 1078 nt
Filed under: Sorghum bicolor (sorghum)
Lineage: Eukaryota; Viridiplantae; Streptophyta; Magnoliopsida; Poales; Poaceae
Description: long non-coding RNA (SBIC_LNC014383)
Source: RNAcentral